RNAcentral lists this ribosomal RNA (442 nucleotides) under uncultured bacterium. RNAcentral's name for it is "partial 16S ribosomal RNA". It matches the Rfam family "Bacterial small subunit ribosomal RNA", at positions 338 to 795 of the family's 1533-position model. The record is from RNAcentral.
CCUACGGGUGGCAGCAGUGGGGAAUAUUGGGCAAUGGGCGCAAGCCUGACCCAGCAACGCCGCGUGAAGGCAGAAGGCUUUCGGGUUGUAAACUUCUUUUGUCAGGGAAGAGUAGAAGACGGUACCUGACGAAUAAGCCACGGCUAACUACGUGCCAGCAGCCGCGGUAAUACGUAGGUGGCAAGCGGUGUCCGGAUUUACUGGGUGUAAAGGGCGUGUAGCCGGGUUGACAAGUCAGAUGUGAAAUCCUGCGGCUUAACCGCAGAACUGCAUUUGAAACUGUUGAUCUUGAGUACUGGAGAGGCAGAUGGAAUUCCUAGUGUAGCGGUGAAAUGCGUAGAUAUUAGGAGGAACACCAGUUGCGAAGGCGGUCUGCCGGACAGCAACUGACGGUGAGGCGCGAAAGCGUGGGGAGCAAACAGGAUUAGAUACCCCAGUAGUC